AAAAAAAAAAAAAAAAAACCUACUUUGCAACAAUAAGGAGAGAGGGUUUCGAUAAUAGAUCAAAAAAAAGUGCUAUUAGUAUGCUAUGGAAAAGUACUAUAUAGUACAUUGGAAGAGACCAUAUAAUACGCAAGAUUCACAACAGUUCAAAUUAAUCAAAAUGUUACCAGCAGAUACAACACAGAUCAUACAAAAAUGUAGCAGCCAUAUACACAUGAAGUUACUAAUGACCCUUAAUUCAAAACAAAGAAAGUUCACUAAAAGAAAUCAUGAAACAUAUCAACUGGAAACCUGAAAUUUAUUUAAUAGACCAUAUUUGAACUUGCACUAGAAUAAGGGGAAUAGCACAAAAGGAUGUGUUUGACAACCAUUUAGGCCAUACCUAGACAGGAGUUUUCAGCAUGAUCACGCGUGAGACUUGAAUUAAAAGAAAAAAAAAAAGGUAAAAU
RNAcentral lists this unclassified non-coding RNA (449 nucleotides) under Hevea brasiliensis (rubber tree). The record is from RNAcentral. Lineage: Eukaryota; Viridiplantae; Streptophyta; Magnoliopsida; Malpighiales; Euphorbiaceae.